AGGGCAUGUGCAGACAGGAAGUACAUGCCCUGUUAACAAGGUGGCAGCCCAUCUGACAUCUGCUGACGGUUUCUACACUGAAACAGGUCCAAUAUUACCAGGACUUUUGAUUUAUUAAGAGAAGCUGGAAAUCUGGGGCCUUAGGCAAAAUCUCCUGACUUAAAAAAAACACUUUGGCAUCUAGAUCCCCAUGAAUUCCAACAUGAUAUGGACCAAACACUCCUGGGCUCAGGUGAUCCUUCCACCUCAGCCUCCAGAAUAGCUGGGAUUAAAUACUGGCAACUCCCAACUUCAUCAGUCCUGUCACAAUGGUUUGAAGUAUGUGCAAGCCAUUUGUUAAGAAGCUAAUGAUACUAUAUUAGGCCGGGUGCAGUGGCUCAUGCCUGUAAUCCCAGCACUUUAGGAGACUGAGGCAGAUGGAUCACUUGAGGUUGUGCUAGAUGACUGUACAGACUUGGGAUUUGAGGUUUAGAUACAGACAUACUUGGGUCCCUUCCUACUCCCUUUUUAUAAUCCUUAAGUAAUUAAUAAUGGUUCCGUUCAUCACUUUAGAAAAUUUGGGGGAAUUAUUUUCAAAUAAUUUUAAUAAACUUCUAUGUUAGGAUUACAGGUGUGAGCCGCCGUGCCCAGUCUGAAGAGUCUGUAUGGAGUGAGGUGUGGAUCCCAAGGUUAGGGAACCCCAAAUUCCUGGAAGAGAACAACUUGGAAAUAUUAGUAUUUAAGAAUAUCACUCUUCUCUAUGGAAGUGGUUAAGAAUGUGACCUUGGAGCCACACUUUUCAAGUGACACUCCCAGCUCUGCCGUUUACUGUAGCCAUGGGAUAUGGAACAAAUUACUUCACCUGCUUGUUGCUUCAGUUGCCUCAUCUUUAACAUGAGGCCAAUAGGCCAGGUGUGGUGGCUUUAUACCUGUAAUCCCAGAACUUUGGGAGGCCAAGGUGGGCGGAUCACUUGAGCUCAGGAGUUCGAGACCAGCCUGGCCAGUGUGGCAAAAACCCAUCUCUACUAAAAUUACAAAAAUUAGCCAGGCGUGGUGGCAUGUGCCUGUAGUCCCAGUAACAGGCUAGGUGAAUCACUUCACCCCAGGAGGCAGAGGCUGCAGUGAGCUGAGAUCGUGCCACUGCACUCCAGCCUGGGUUACAAAGUGAGAUUCUAUCUCAAAAAACAACAACAACAAAAACAUGAGGCUAAUACUAGUCCCUAUCUCCAAGAUUGUUGUGAGGAUUAAAUGGAUUAAUAUGUGUGGAAUAUUUAGAAUAGUCCCUGGCCCAGUAAAUGUUAGAUGUUGUUAACUCAGUUAUUACUGUCUUGUCCUCUAGGACUUGGGAGAAUUAAGCAAACCAUUAAAAAUACUGUUGAUAAAUUCAUUUUUUUUUGUCCUUGAUUUGAACAGAAACUCAGCCACCUGUGACAAAUUUGAGUGUCUCUGUUGAAAACCUCUGCACAGUAAUAUGGACAUGGAAUCCACCCGAGGGAGCCAGCUCAAAUUGUAGUCUAUGGUAUUUUAGUCAUUUUGGCGACAAACAAGAUAAGGUAAGUUUUCUGCAACAUGUUACAUUGAUGAGGUAAAGUGAACACUAUGAAUUGGAGCCAAGAAUAAGCCAAAUUCUAGUCUUACGUCAAAGUGGAAAUUGUAUUUUAGGGUGUGUUUAAAUUUCAGUUGGGGAAAUUAUAGAAGCAACUAUUGACACAAGUGAACACUUAAAAAUAUUUGCUAAUUAUUUGACAAUUAAAUGCAAUUGAGAUUGCUCUGACAGGAAAUACUAGAUAUCUUUUUCUCUAAGGUACUCAAUAAAUAAUUAUGUUAUUGUUAAAAUUUGUUCCUAUGUUCCUGCCUGUAGCUGUAUUGCCUUGUAUCUAUAUAACACUUAAUUUUGGGGAAUUUUUACAUUUACCAUCUUGCUAAUCACAUGGACAAAUAGAUGUACAGGCACUAUGUGGUGUAAAAGUAAACGGCCAUAUGGAAAGUGAAAAAGUAAGUUGUCAGUGGCAGGUGUGUUUGAGUAGAGGGUUCUGUAAUGCCCGCGGAAAAAGGAGGAAGACUUUCAAGAUUUCUAGUCAACUGAUAUAAGUGAAUUUUUGUUAAUAGGUUUGGAUAAUUUCAGGUCCUUUAUGAUAAUCUUAUUCAACUUUUUUUUCAAAAUCUUUUUAUACCUUCUUUCGGUGUGUAUGUGUUUGUUGCAGGGUGGCGGCGGUGAGUGGGUUGGGUGUUUGGGGUUGAAUUUGUCCAGGAUUUUGAGUAGGCAGAAUGAGAAGUUAUUAGCAACAGUGCUUUGCAUCAGUGAAUUGUA
Molecule: long non-coding RNA, 2290 nt
Filed under: Homo sapiens (human)
Lineage: Eukaryota; Metazoa; Chordata; Mammalia; Primates; Hominidae
Description: HSALNT0285685
Source: RNAcentral